AAACUUGUUCUCAACCUUAGAGCAUAUCAACAUAUCCCUACACCUUCUCGUAGCUUCGACCCCUUGAAACCCUAACCCCUCCGACGAGUCACUCUGUACAUCUUUUCAACCUCACAGAGCCUAGGGAAAGUACUACUAUGGUAGCCACAAAGAGUCAAGGUCUGGUUCUUUCAGGUUGCCCUUCUUGAAGGGCAUGCUUUAUGGUGCAAGAGUCCCUUUCCUUUGAGAUUCAUGUAUCUGCUACCCAGCUGAAGUGAGACCAUCAAAGUCCUCUGUACUUGGGUAAGUUACCGACCUUGUUUUAUUAAGAUUUUAUUUUGUAAUUUAUCUCUAAAUGGGUGAAUAAAUUUAUUUGGUUAAUAUCCAAUUAGGUACCCCUAACUGUGUGGGUAGAAAAGAGAAUUGGAAUUUUCCAAGUGUGUCAUAUGCGAGCUUGUAUGCUUGAUUGAUUUUUCACUCUUGAGCUUUUGGAUUUCACUAUAUUAUUUCUGCUUUAUUAUUUUAUAUUACCCCUCGUGCUAUUUCAACAGAAGUUUUAAAGCAAAUGGGUAUAACUGUAGAUUUAAUUAUUGGCACUACCUAGGAAUGAAAUGUUUGUAGCGUAUUGAAUUGAAGUUUCAAAAAAUUUGGGGGAAAAUCUGCCCCAUAUUUGUUGAAGUAGUAUUAUAGUUUUAGGCUCACGAGUGUUUGAAAUUAUUUCUCAAUGAAUUCCUUUGAGUGUCCUACACAAAUAAUGCUGCAGUCGAAGAAAGGUUGAGUACAUAUCAGCAUGAUAAUUUGUUUUUAAGCUUAUUGUAUUAACAUUCGAUCUAGCCAUUCGUGCAGUAAAUGGGAGAUUCCAUUUUAUCGUAAU
RNAcentral lists this long non-coding RNA (853 nucleotides) under Nicotiana benthamiana. RNAcentral's name for it is "long non-coding RNA (NBEN_LNC006671)". Lineage: Eukaryota; Viridiplantae; Streptophyta; Magnoliopsida; Solanales; Solanaceae. The record is from RNAcentral.